This 484-nucleotide ribosomal RNA is filed under the name uncultured bacterium. RNAcentral's name for it is "partial 16S ribosomal RNA". It matches the Rfam family "Bacterial small subunit ribosomal RNA", at positions 30 to 507 of the family's 1533-position model. The record is from RNAcentral.
AUUGAACGCUGGCGGAAUGCUUUACACAUGCAAGUCGAACGGCAGCACGGGGGCAACCCUGGUGGCGAGUGGCGAACGGGUGAGUAAUACAUCGGAACGUGCCCGGUCGUGGGGGAUAACGUAGCGAAAGUUACGCUAAUACCGCAUACGAUCUGAGGAUGAAAGCGGGGGACCUUCGGGCCUCGCGCGAUCGGAGCGGCCGAUGUCAGAUUAGGUAGUUGGUGGGGUAAAGGCCUACCAAGCCGACGAUCUGUAGCUGGUCUGAGAGGACGACCAGCCACACUGGGACUGAGACACGGCCCAGACUCCUACGGGAGGCAGCAGUGGGGAAUUUUGGACAAUGGGCGCAAGCCUGAUCCAGCCAUUCCGCGUGCAGGACGAAGGCCUUCGGGUUGUAAACUGCUUUUGUAUGGAACGAAAAGGCUCUAGCUAAUACCUGGGGCUCAUGACGGUACCGUAAGAAUAAGCACCGGCUAACUACGUG